This is a non-coding RNA of Podarcis lilfordi (Lilford's wall lizard), 1127 nucleotides long. NCBI's taxonomy places the organism in Eukaryota, Metazoa, Chordata, Lepidosauria, Squamata, Lacertidae. The record is from the annotation of a GenBank genome assembly.
AUUGAAGCAGCGUAGGGGUGGGCGUGGGGAUUUCUCUCUCUCAUAUUGAUGGUGGGCACAUGUAUGAGCAUGUGAGCAUUGCCUGUCAUUGAGAUGAGUGGGCCCAGUGGCUGCCAGCAUAUAUCUUGCUGACAUGGACCAGAGGUUGUGAGCAGAGGAGCAUCGGGCACGCAGAGGUGGAGAGUUGGCAGGCAGCCACUCCAGCUAUUACAGGCCUUCUGCUCACACUGAGUAUUCCCGUAGUGGCCCGGCACCAAAAGAGGCAGAAAUAAUGGAAGCGGACGCAGAAACUUUGGAAGUUCCCCAGAAAUAACAAGGUAGCAGCCUGUAGAAUCUGCCAGGGUGGCAGGUGCAGUUUAAAGACUAGAAGGCUUGGAGUUCUGGCAUCAAUUCACUGGCUCAGGUGAAGAGAUGUGGUGCACAGAAUUCAUUUCCUCCUGUUUGAGGGGGAACUGCAAUAUUCAGAGCAUCGAAUGGAUGUCCGUCUGCAUGUUCAUGUUGGAUCAUGGAGGAAGGGGGACUGGCUGGCUGGUUGCUUAAUGGCCAGCUGCCAUUUCUUGAAACUAUUACCGAAUUGUGCAUUUCAGAACUACAGUGCCUCUUCCUGAGAGUCUCUCACCUAGAAAUCGGCUCCAACCCCCUCCACAUGCCUCCAUGUGGAUGGGAACAGAGGUGGGCUGGUUUGGGCUGUAUUAUUAACAUGGGAAAGAUAAGGAAAAGGGGAUUUUUUCUUCCUUUCAGGGAUGGAGUGGGAAGGAGAGAAGCACAGCGAGGAAUUCACUGGUGGGGGGGAGCUCUGGAUGGUAGAAUAAUUUUGUGGAGGAAUCAAGAGAAGGAGUAUGGAUUUGAGACUUAAUUUUUGUAACUUGAUCUGAGGGAGAUUGGUUGAAGGGGAAUUGAUCUCUGUCAGAAUCUGAAAGCCACAUUAAUGGGUAUGUUCUUUCUUUGCAGCAAUUUUUUAUGGUUUGGUGAUUUGGGGCUGAGAUCCCACUUCUGUUUGUGUUCAGUUUGUGGCUUUGGGCCACUUCAUCUAGUCCAACAGUGGCCAACCAAAUACCCCUGAGGAGCUCAUAAGCAGAAUAUGAGGGCAACUGUCUUCCCUUGUGUGUUGUCCCACAUGAGCUGUG